RNAcentral lists this ribosomal RNA (481 nucleotides) under uncultured bacterium. RNAcentral describes it as "partial 16S ribosomal RNA". It matches the Rfam family "Bacterial small subunit ribosomal RNA", at positions 28 to 507 of the family's 1533-position model. The record is from RNAcentral.
GAUGAACGCUGGCGGCGUGCUUAACACAUGCAAGUCGAACGAAGCAUUUGCGACAGAUUUUUUCGGAAUGAAGUUGCUUAUGACUGAGUGGCGGACGGGUGAGUAACGCGUGGGUAACCUGCCUUGUACUGGGGGAUAGCAGCUGGAAACGGCUGGUAAUACCGCAUAAGCGCACAAUGUUGCAUGACAUGGUGUGAAAAACUCCGGUGGUAUAAGAUGGACCCGCGUCUGAUUAGCUAGUUGGUGAGAUAACAGCCCACCAAGGCGACGAUCAGUAGCCGACCGGAGAGGGUGGCCGGCCACAUUGGGACUGAGACACGGCCCAGACUCCUACGGGAGGCAGCAGUGGGGAAUAUUGCACAAUGGAGGAAACUCUGAUGCAGCGACGCCGCGUGAGUGAAGAAGUAAUUCGUUAUGUAAAGCUCUAUCAGCAGGGAAGAUAGUGACGGUACCUGACGAAGAAGCUCCGGCUAAAUACGUG